CGCUGGCGGCGUGCCUAAUACAUGCAAGUCGAGCGAACAGAUAAGGAGCUUGCUCCUUUGAAGUUAGCGGCGGACGGGUGAGUAACACGUGGGUAACCUACCUAUAAGACUGGGAUAACUUCGGGAAACCGGAGCUAAUACCGGAUAACAUUUAGAACCGCAUGGUUCUAAAGUGAAAGAUGGUUUUGCUAUCACUUAUAGAUGGACCCGCGCCGUAUUAGCUAGUUGGUAAGGUAACGGCUUACCAAGGCGACGAUACGUAGCCGACCUGAGAGGGUGAUCGGCCACACUGGAACUGAGACACGGUCCAGACUCCUACGGGAGGCAGCAGUAGGGAAUCUUCCGCAAUGGGCGAAAGCCUGACGGAGCAACGCCGCGUGAGUGAUGAAGGGUUUCGGCUCGUAAAACUCUGUUAUUAGGGAAGAACAAAUGUGUAAGUAACUGUGCACAUCUUGACGGUACCUAAUCAGAAAGCCACGGCUAACUACGUGCCAGCAGCCGCGGUAAUACGUAGGUGGCAAGCGUUAUCCGGAAUUAUUGGGCGUAAAGCGCGCGUAGGCGGUUUCUUAAGUCUGAUGUGAAAGCCCACGGCUCAACCGUGGAGGGUCAUUGGAAACUGGGAAACUUGAGUGCAGAAGAGGAAAGUGGAAUUCCAUGUGUAGCGGUGAAAUGCGCAGAGAUAUGGAGGAACACCAGUGGCGAAGGCGACUUUCUGGUCUGUAACUGACGCUGAUGUGCGAAAGCGUGGGGAUCAAACAGGAUUAGAUACCCUGGUAGUCC
RNAcentral lists this ribosomal RNA (780 nucleotides) under uncultured bacterium. RNAcentral describes it as "bacterial SSU rRNA". It matches the Rfam family "Bacterial small subunit ribosomal RNA", at positions 34 to 796 of the family's 1533-position model. The record is from RNAcentral.